AUUGAACGCUGGCGGCAUGCCUUACACAUGCAAGUCGAACGGUAACAGGUUAAGCUGACGAGUGGCGAACGGGUGAGUAAUGUAUCGGAACGUGCCCAGUCGCGGGGGAUAACUGCUCGAAAGAGCAGCUAAUACCGCAUACGACCUGAGGGCGAAAGCGGGGGAUCGCAAGACCUCGCGCGAUUGGAGCGGCCGAUAUCAGAUUAGGUAGUUGGUGAGGUAAAGGCUCACCACGCCGACGAUCUGUAGCUGGUCUGAGAGGACGACCAGCCACACUGGGACUGAGACACGGCCCAGACUCCUACGGGAGGCAGCAGUGGGGAAUUUUGGACAAUGGGCGGAAGCCUGAACCAGCCGUGCCGCGUGCGGGAAGAAGGCCUUCGGGUUGUAAACCGCUUUUGUCAGGGAAGAAAAGGUUCUGGCUAAUACCUGGGACUCAUGACGGUACCUGAAGAAUAAGCACCGGCUAACUACGUG
This 477-nucleotide ribosomal RNA is filed under the name uncultured bacterium. RNAcentral describes it as "partial 16S ribosomal RNA". It matches the Rfam family "Bacterial small subunit ribosomal RNA", at positions 29 to 507 of the family's 1533-position model. The record is from RNAcentral.